This 1440-nucleotide ribosomal RNA is filed under the name uncultured prokaryote. RNAcentral describes it as "partial 16S ribosomal RNA". It matches the Rfam family "Bacterial small subunit ribosomal RNA". The record is from RNAcentral.
UGGCUCAGAUUGACGCUGGCGGCAGGCCUAACACAUGCAAGUCGAACGGUAACAGCAGAGCUUGCUCUGGCUGACGAGUGGCGGACGGGUGAGUAAAGCAUAGGAAUCUCCCAUGUAGUGGGGGAUAACUUGGGGAAACUCAAGCUAAUACCGCAUACGCCCUACGGGGGAAAGCGGGGGACCUUCGGGCCUCUUGCUAUUGGAUGAGCCUAUGUCGGAUUAGUUAGUUGGUGAGGUAAUGGCUUACCAAGACUACAAUCCGUAGCUGGUUUGAGAGGAUGAUCAGCCACACUGGGACUGAGACACGGCCCAGACUCCUACGGGAGGCAGCAGUAGGGAGUAUUGGACAAUGGGCGCAAGCCUGAUCCAGCAAUGCCGCGUGUGUGAAGAAGGCCUGCGGGUUGUAAAGCACUUUCAGUAGGGAGGAAAAGUUAGUCGUUAAUAACGGCUAACCGUGACGUUACCUACAGAAGAAGCACCGGCAAACUCCGUGCCAGCAGCCGCGGUAAUACGGAGGGUGCGAGCGUUAAUCGGAAUUACUGGGCGUAAAGCGCGCGUAGGCGGCCUGAUAAGGGGGAGGGGAAAGCCCUGGGCUCAACCUAGGAACUGCAUGCAAAACUGUCAGGCUAGAGUAUGGUAGAGGAGAGUGGAAUUGCAUGUGUAGCGGUGGAAUGCAUAGAUAUAUGAAGGAACACCAGUGGCGAAGGCGGCUCUCUGGACCAAUACUGACGCUGAGGUGCGAAAGCGUGGGUAGCAAACGGGAUUAGAUACCCCGGUAGUCCACGCCGUAAACGAUGUCAACUAACUGUUGGGCGGGUUUCCGCUUAGUGGGGUGCAGCUAAAGCAAUAAGUUGACCGCCUGGGGAGUACGGCCGCAAGGCUAAGACUCAAAUGAAUUGACGGGGGCCCGCACAAGCGGUGGAGCAUGUGGUUUAAUUCGAUGCAACGCGAAGAACCUUACCUGGCCUUGACAUCCUCGGAACUUUGCUGAAAAGCGAAGGUGCCUUCGGGAACCGAGUGACAGGUGCUGCAUGGCUGUCGUCAGCUCGUGUCGUGAGAUGUUGGGUUAAGUCCCGUAACGAGCGCAACCCUUGUCCCUAGUUGCCAGCGGUUCGGCCGGGAACUCUAGGGAGACUGCCGGUGACAAACCGGAGGAAGGUGGGGAUGACGUCAAGUCCUCAUGGCCCUCAUGGGCAGGGCUACACACGUGCUACAAUGGCCGGUACAGAGGGUCGCCAACCCGCGAGGGGGAGCCAAUCCCAGAAAACCGGUCGUAGUCCGGAUUGGAGUCUGCAACUCGACUCCAUGAAGUCGGAAUCGCUAGUAAUCGCGAAUCAGCAUUGUCGCGGUGAAUACGUUCCCGGGUCCCUUGUACACACCGCCCGUCACACCAUGGGAGUUGGCUGCACCAGAAGUAGAUAGUCUAACCUUCGGGAGGAC